Long non-coding RNA from Sorghum bicolor (sorghum), 1688 nucleotides. RefSeq lists it as uncharacterized. The record is from RefSeq and is a predicted model, not a curated record. The transcript is spliced from 2 exons. NCBI's taxonomy places the organism in Eukaryota, Viridiplantae, Streptophyta, Magnoliopsida, Poales, Poaceae.
CCCUUCUCCUGGCACACGGCAAUCCAAUCUUUUUUUUUCAUUUCCUUAUCUUCAAAUUUUUUGUACUAUACACACACAACAUGUGUUAACCCACCUUGAAAUUUGAUGUGGGUAAGAAUUCCUUGCCCGUGUUGCUUACUACAGUGCAUUCUUUGGACCUUCUUUAAAUAUUGACUGCAUACAUCGCUUGUACAUGUAGGAUUUCUAUAGGAUUGAGCAGGCAUAUGAGCAACGGGCGAAUGACGUGGCUGGGAAUGCAUGUGUGAAGCUGGUGAAGGACAUGCAUUACGAGUCACGCGUCCAGGCCAUCCUAACGUUCAAUGCGGAGUACAAGCACAAGAAGGCCACCAAGGAGGAAGCAAGAAAUGAAAAACUGACCAAGGAGGAAUACAUGAUGGUAAAUAUAUAACACUAAUACUCAUUGCUUCUGAGUUUAAGGUUCAUUUGGUCUUCUUAAAUGUCAUGUACUUGAUGAUCUGUAGGUUCCUCCAUGGUGGUGCACCAACAAUCCCCAGUGCUAGGAAGUGAUUGUGAACAAGUGGUGCGCCGAGGGUUGGGAGGAGACCCACAACGCUUGCUGUGAGCGAUGCCUGUAGAUGCCAGGUGAAGCACAUCAUCAAGGGAACCUUACCCUCGAGGAGUACAGAAAGAGAUGGGUACAUGCAAGAAUUCAUUGAAUUAUUUUGUUGCUUGCCAUCGUGCCAUUGUCGGCCAUCGUGUCGUUGUUUUGUUGUAGGUUUUGGAACCUCCCAGUGCAUGGGAGGUGCUGCCGAAGUUUUCAUUUGACACUAUUAUUUUGUUACUUUUUUGUAGUCGGCGGCACACAAGGGCCAACCUUGCUCCCAGUUGAAGGCAUGGGCCUUGGCCCACAAGGGGAAGGUGACAUCAGACGUCGACUGGAACCCGGAGGACCCGCCCCAAGCCUACAACAACGCCACUAUCUACAGUCGCAUCAGUUUGUACACUUCGAUGGCAAGGGAGGUAUGUGGUCCAGAAUUCGACCCGUACACCGAGAAGAUUGAUGGAGAAGGUCAUGAGGGCGGGAGGAGGCAAGAAGCAUGGGUGGUACUGGAUUGCCGAUAGCGCAUCAACUCGUCCAAUACUCCUACUCUCAACCAGAUUAGAGCACAAAGCAAGGGCCAAGGCGUGGAGAUACACCCAAGGCCGACCGUUCACCAGCUUUAGAUGGAUGCAAUGCAUGUUCUCGUUGUUUCAUUCGUCGCUUAUUGAUUUAAACAUAACAUAACUUUCUAUUGUAACACAAGUGUUCAAUUUGUAGGCAAGGAUGGACGAAAAGGAUAGGCGCCUACAGGAGUUAGAGGCGAGGGUGGCUGCUGAUGCAAUGAGGUUUAAUCAGAUGGCUUUGUACUUGCAAAGUCUUGGCACUCAGAUGGGUCAACCUCCGUCACCUGACCUCCUAUUUGUUCCACCGCCUCCACCUAGAAGUACUCCAAUUUAGUUGGCGGUUUCAAAUGAUGUGGUGAAUGAGCAAAGUCCUCAAUCCCGUGGGUGGGGCAUCCAUACGAAUGAGCAAACACCUCCAUCCGAUUGGGGCAAUAGGAAUGGUUCCUUUGGUUGGUGAACUUGCAUGAUAAUUGUGGUGAUGAACUUGUGGUUUGGUUAUGAACUUCAUGAUAAACUUGAUGUGGUUGUAUGGUACUUGUGUUGAAGUUGUGGUUUGUGUGACA